RNAcentral lists this ribosomal RNA (390 nucleotides) under Sylvisorex johnstoni (Johnston's Forest Shrew). RNAcentral's name for it is "partial 16S ribosomal RNA". It matches the Rfam family "Bacterial large subunit ribosomal RNA", at positions 1928 to 2563 of the family's 2925-position model. The record is from RNAcentral. Lineage: Eukaryota; Metazoa; Chordata; Mammalia; Eulipotyphla; Soricidae.
CGGCCGCGGUAUCCUGACCGUGCAAAGGUAGCAUAAUCAUUUGUUCCUUAAUUAGGGACUUGUAUGAAUGGCUUAACGAGGGUUUAACUGUCUCUUACUUUUAAUCAGUGAAAUUGACCUUCCCGUGAAGAGGCGGGAAUAAAUUAAUAAGACGAGAAGACCCUAUGGAGCUUAAAUUGAAUUCUGAAUAAUAAAUUUUGGUUGGGGUGACCUCGGAGCACAAAAUAACCUCCGAGAAUUAGCUAAGACUUACCCGUCUAAGCCAAAUCAUUUUGAUCAACGGAAUAAGUUACCCUAGGGAUAACAGCGCAAUCCUAUUUAAGAGUUCAUAUCGACAAUAGGGUUUACGACCUCGAUGUUGGAUCAGGACACCCAAAUGGUGCAACAGCU